CGGCGCAGUAGCUCCGGUACGCAGGCGCACCCGUGGCAGGGCAUGUCGGGAACUGUAGUUUUCCCGGCCCAGGAGGGCCCUCAGCCCUGGGCGGGACCCAGGCCGGCAUCCGGCGGCGCUCAGGGAAUGCGUAGCGCCGUGAACCGAAUGGCGGCAGGCUCCACUGUGCUCGCGAGCGGGGCACGCCGGGAUAUGUAGUUUCCGGCGCCUGCCCUCCGGGGGGUCCUGUGCUGCCCACUUCACAGUGACUUGUCUCCGCCUGGUGAACUCGCGGUGUUCUGCUAAUCUUGCGGAGCCUCAAUGUGAGAUGCAGAGACUGCCCAUCAAACCACAGCCAUAUUCAUCAAGCUUUGAGCCGAUCCGGUGAAGAGAAAUGAGCACUGCAUACAUUAUUCAGAGAAAGGGACCAAAUAAAGCUUUUAAUAGGAAA
Long non-coding RNA from Homo sapiens (human), 430 nucleotides. RefSeq lists it as uncharacterized. Lineage: Eukaryota; Metazoa; Chordata; Mammalia; Primates; Hominidae. The record is from RefSeq and is a predicted model, not a curated record. The transcript is spliced from 2 exons.